RNAcentral lists this ribosomal RNA (434 nucleotides) under uncultured bacterium. RNAcentral describes it as "partial 16S ribosomal RNA". It matches the Rfam family "Bacterial small subunit ribosomal RNA", at positions 29 to 507 of the family's 1533-position model. The record is from RNAcentral.
AGCGAACGCUGGCGGCAGGCCUAACACAUGCAAGUCGAACGAACCUUUCGGGGUUAGUGGCGGACGGGUGAGUAACACGUGGGAACGUGCCUUUAGGUUCGGAAUAACUCAGGGAAACUUGUGCUAAUACCGAAUGUGCCCUUCGGGGGAAAGAUUUAUCGCCUUUAGAGCGGCCCGCGUCUGAUUAGCUAGUUGGUUGAGGUAAUGGCUCACCAAGGCGACGAUCAGUAGCUGGUCUGAGAGGAUGAUCAGCCACAUUGGGACUGAGACACGGCCCAAACUCCUACGGGAGGCAGCAGUGGGGAAUCUUGCGCAAUGGGCGAAAGCCUGACGCAGCCAUGCCGCGUGAAUGAUGAAGGUCUUAGGAUUGUAAAAUUCUUUCACCGGGGACCAUAAUGACGGUACCCGGAGAAGAAGCCCCGGCUAACUUCGUG